GACGAACGCUGGCGGCGUGCUUAACACAUGCAAGUCGAACGGUAAGGCCCUUCGGGGUACACGAGUGGCGAACGGAUGAGUAACACGUGGGUGAUCUGCCCUGCACUUCGGGAUAAGCCUGGGAAACUGGGUCUAAUACCGGAUAGGACCCUAGGAUGCCUGUCCUGGGGUGGAAAGCUUUUGCGGUGUGGGAUGGGCCCGCGGCCUAUCAGCUUGUUGGUGGGGUGAUGGCCUACCAAGGCGACGACGGGUAGCCGGCCUGAGAGGGUGACCGGCCACACUGGGACUGAGAUACGGCCCAGACUCCUACGGGAGGCAGCAGUGGGGAAUAUUGCACAAUGGGCGCAAGCCUGAUGCAGCGACGCCGCGUGAGGGAUGACGGCCUUCGGGUUGUAAACCUCUUUCAGCACCGACGAAGCGCAAGUGACGGUAGGUGCAGAAGAAGGACCGGCCAACUACGUGCCAGCCGCCGCCGUAA
RNAcentral lists this ribosomal RNA (478 nucleotides) under uncultured bacterium. RNAcentral describes it as "partial 16S ribosomal RNA". It matches the Rfam family "Bacterial small subunit ribosomal RNA", at positions 28 to 523 of the family's 1533-position model. The record is from RNAcentral.